Spinacia oleracea (spinach) is the source of this 655-nucleotide long non-coding RNA. RefSeq lists it as uncharacterized. NCBI's taxonomy places the organism in Eukaryota, Viridiplantae, Streptophyta, Magnoliopsida, Caryophyllales, Amaranthaceae. The record is from RefSeq and is a predicted model, not a curated record. The transcript is spliced from 5 exons.
UCUUCUUCCCUCAACUUUCCCUGCGUCUCGCCCGUCGCCGGUGAUUCUCGCCAGUUGUCAUCGCCGCUGGGUCUUGCCCCUUGUCGGUGGUACUCCAGCAAGGGUCUAUUUCCUCGCCUCCUCACCAGUGGUUCCCUGCUCGAUAAACCACCGCAGAAGUUAUUCCCUGCUCGAAAAACCACCGGUGAAGUCAUUUCCUGCUCGAAAAACUAAGCUACUUUGCUCGGCCGGUUCGUGAACCCUGUUCUCCGUCAAUCCUUGCCGCAACAAUUAAAUCUCCAAAAUUUUCGCUUUUUUGGAAGUUCGGUGAUUCCAAGUCCUGUGGUAAAGGUGUUGAUGUAUUGAGAUCAAGGAGACUACUUUGCCACUUGUUGCCUUGGAAAAGAGCUACUUAUUGGAGAAAUGGUCGGGUCGUGGUUUUUCUUUAAGAAGAUCAAAGGUCGUAAGUCUCUCUUGAACCAGUUUAAAAUGGUCCGAGUCCAUGAAAAAGCGUUCAAAGAAGUUUGAAGAGCUUGUAAAUAGGUAACUUCAUCCUCACCUGUAGCAUAUUUGGUGGAAAGACAAAGAAAUAACAAGGCUGGUGGGAUAUUAAGAGAAUUGAAUAGAUAAGAAUAGUCUAAGGGCAAAACAAUUUCUAAAAUGUUAGACAGUCAGG